AGCACACUUCUUCCCUGCAAACUCUGCCAUGGCCAUAAAAUGGGAUUGACAAUAAGUCGCAGUUAAUUGAGGCAUUAGUGUCUUUCAAAAAUUCACAUGAAUAGAUCACAAUCAGUGCAUUGCAACAAAUGUAGAAAUGGGGAGAGGAACAACCAUCUAUACAUUGAUCAACAGAUCUCAAUUCUCGCAGGAUAAAAAGGCAUAUGUUAGUUGAUGUAAAUUGCAAGACAUGAUACAAAGAGAGGCAAAAAUAUUUCUAGUUACCUCUCAUAAUUUAACCUUAUCCCCAAUGGAAGAAAAGAAAAGGCAGACAAGUUCACCAUUUGAAAUGGCCAGUAAAGGAACCAAUAUAUUCCACUCAGUGAGAAAGGAUCAACAAAGGAUCAACAAAGGUGCUUCUUUGGUGUCCUCUUUUUUAGAAAGGACAUAGUGACAUGAGUGCUGUGUUCAUGGCUUUAUGCCUAACAAUAGAAGUCUACAGUUGUCAUUUAAAAACUAUAGCUUACAAGCCUUCUGAUUUUUCAGCGUGAGAAAACCAGUCCUACAGUUGAAUGAUGGAACUGUAGCCCUAUAUGAUGACCCAUAUGCAAUGUUAAAAUAUGGAAAUAGCUCAUGGUUUUUAAGGCAUUAUGCCAAAUUUAUAGACAGUAGAGCCAGUGUAAGCUUACACACAAUAUCCAAGCUACAUGUCUAAAUAAAAACCAGUAACAUGCAAAUCCUUGAUUAAUUCAAGAGCACCUGCAUUCUGAAUUACCUAAACUCCAGCGAAAACAAAAGAACAUUCCAGCACAAUGGCAACAGCUGUGUAAAAGAGAGAGAGCUUAC
Molecule: unclassified non-coding RNA, 825 nt
Filed under: Hevea brasiliensis (rubber tree)
Lineage: Eukaryota; Viridiplantae; Streptophyta; Magnoliopsida; Malpighiales; Euphorbiaceae
Source: RNAcentral